Molecule: ribosomal RNA, 1299 nt
Filed under: human gut metagenome
Description: bacterial LSU rRNA
Rfam family: Bacterial large subunit ribosomal RNA
Source: RNAcentral
GUUAAGUGGAAAAGGAUGUGGGAUUUCGAAGACAACCAGGAUGUUGGCUCAGAAGCAGCCAUACAUUCAAAGAGUGCGUAAUAGCUCACUGGUCGAGAGGUCCUGCGCCGAAAAUGUCCGGGGCUGAAACGCGCCACCGAAACUAAGGAACCGAAAGGUUGGUAGAGGAGCAUUGCAUGCGGGAAGAAGCAGUACCGAAAGGAGCUGUGGACUGCAUGGAAGAGAGAAUGCCGGAAUGAGUAGCGAGAUAGAGGUGGGAAUCCUCUAGGCCGAAUAUCCAAGGUUUCCAGGGUAAAGCUGAUCUGCCCUGGGUAAGUCGGGGCCUAAGGCGAGGACGAGAGUCGUAGCCGAUGGACAACAGGUGGAGAUUCCUGUACUGCGGUAUGACAGAACUGUGGGGACACGUAAGGAAAGCGGAAGCCGGGAAUGGAAAGCCCGGUGCAAGCGGGGUACCAGUCACUUUGGCAAAUCCGGGUGGCAAUGGGAAGCCGUGAUGCGGAGCGAAAUAAAGUAGCGAAGUCCGUGAGCCAUGCGUCAAGAAAAGCCGCUAUCGUUUAUACCGUACCCGUACCGUAAACCGACACAGGUGGAUGAGGAGAGAAUCCUAAGGCCGGCGGAAGAAGCAUUGUUAAGGAAUUCGGCAAAAUGACCCCGUAACUUCGGGAGAAGGGGUGCCUGCGAGAGCAGGCCGCAGAGAAUAGGCUCAAGCAACUGUUUAGCAAAAACACAGGUCUAUGCGAAACCGAAAGGUGAGGUAUAUGGGCUGACGCCUGCCCGGUGCUGGAAGGUUAAGAGGAGAGGUUAGCGCAAGCGAAGCUUUGAAUUUAAGCCCCAGUAAACGGCGGCCGUAACUAUAACGGUCCUAAGGUAGCGAAAUUCCUUGUCGGGUAAGUUCCGACCCGCACGAAAGGCGUAAUGAUUUGAGCACUGUCUCGACAAUGCAUCCGGUGAAAUUGAAGUACCAGUGAAGAUGCUGGUUACCUGCGCCAGGACGGAAAGACCCCAUGGAGCUUUACUCCAGUCUGGUACUGGGACUCGGUAUUGCAUGUACAGGAUAGGUGGGAGGCUAGGAGAUGGUAACGCCAGUUGCCAUGGAGCCGCUGUUGGGAUACCACCCUUGCAGUAUUGGGUUUCUAACCAGCCGCCGUGACCCGGCGGUGGGACAAUGCCAGACGGGGAGUUUGACUGGGGCGGUCGCCUCCGAAAGGGUAUCGGAGGCGCCCAAAGGUUCCCUCAGAAUGGACGGAAACCAUUCGAAGAGUGCAAAGGCAGAAGGGAGCUUGACUGCGACACCGACGG